AUGAAGGAAAAGAAGCACCAAGCCAGCAAGAUUAUGUAUCCCAUAACUGUUAGGAACACCACAGCACCCAACAGUCACACAAAACAGCAUGCAAAAAUGGAACUCAGUUGGCAUAAAGUUUCCUUCAUACAUAAUAUCUUGGCAAGAAAGCAAACCCUUUAUUACAACAUGUGGUUGGGAAGAUUACCCCUCCAAAUGCAGAUUACAAAUCAUCCUCAAAAACUAGUUACCAACUACACAAAAAAGUGCAGUGGAGUUCAAUACAACCAAUUCAAUUGUCAUCCUUUUUAUAUCUCUCUAUCACUAAACAUACAAUUAAUCUCUUUUAACAUCCCACCAGUAUAA
Non-coding RNA from Vicia faba (fava bean), 345 nucleotides. The record is from the annotation of a GenBank genome assembly. NCBI's taxonomy places the organism in Eukaryota, Viridiplantae, Streptophyta, Magnoliopsida, Fabales, Fabaceae.